RNAcentral lists this ribosomal RNA (468 nucleotides) under uncultured bacterium. RNAcentral's name for it is "partial 16S ribosomal RNA". It matches the Rfam family "Bacterial small subunit ribosomal RNA", at positions 28 to 507 of the family's 1533-position model. The record is from RNAcentral.
GACGAACGCUGGCGGCGUGCUUAACACAUGCAAGUCGAACGGAAAGGCCCUGCUUUUGUGGGGUGCUCGAGUGGCGAACGGUUGAGUAACACGUGAGUAACCUGCCCUUGACUUUGUGAUAACUUCAGGAAACUGGGGCUAAUACCGGAUAGGAGCUCCUGCUGCAUGGUGGGGGUUGGAAAGUUUCGGCGGUUGGGGAUGGACUCGCGGCUUAUCAGCUUGUUGGUGGGGUAGUGGCUUACCAAGGCUUUGACGGGUAGCCGGCCUGUGAGGGUGACCGGCCACAUUGGGACUGAGAUACGGCCCAGACUCCUACGGGAGGCAGCAGUGGGGAAUAUUGCACAAUGGGCGGAAGCCUGAUGCAGCAACGCCGCGUGCGGGAUGACGGCCUUCGGGUUGUAAACCGCUUUCGCCUGUGACGAAGCGUGAGUGACGGUAAUGGGUAAAGAAGCACCGGCUAACUACGUG